Molecule: ribosomal RNA, 253 nt
Filed under: uncultured bacterium
Lineage: Bacteria
Description: partial 16S ribosomal RNA
Rfam family: Bacterial small subunit ribosomal RNA
Source: RNAcentral
UACAGAGGGGGCAAGCGUUGUUCGGAAUUACUGGGCGUAAAGGGCGCGUAGGCGGCCCGCUAAGUCGAACGUGAAAUCCCCAGGCUUAACCUGGGAACUGCGUCCGAUACUGGCAGGCUUGAAUCCGGGAGAGGGAUGUGGAAUUCCAGGUGUAGCGGUGAAAUGCGUAGAUAUCAAGAGGAACACCUGCGGCGAAGGCGGGUUGCUGGGCCGACACUGACGCUGAAGCGCGAAAGCCAGGGGAGCGAACGGG